Gasterosteus aculeatus aculeatus (three-spined stickleback) is the source of this 674-nucleotide long non-coding RNA. Lineage: Eukaryota; Metazoa; Chordata; Actinopteri; Perciformes; Gasterosteidae. The record is from Ensembl.
GACAAAUCCUGCUUGUGUACGCCCAGAGAAUAAUAAUGUGCACACAAUCCACCGACAAGGUGUCACACAAACAAGGCAACCAACAUCCGUGAGACAGAUCUCGUUAUGCAUUCUCUUUCCCCUCAAUUUUAAAGGACAAAUAUGUUGACACGUCAAUUAGACGCAGUACCGUUUUCAGCCACAACGAGGGGCCAUUGGCCUGGUGGCGCCCUUUCAAGAGAGAUAGACAGAUGUAUCCUGAGACCCUUUGGAAGAGGCCCUGCUCCCAGUUUUUGGAACCGGUGCCUUUUUGUAUUUUAAGUAUCUCAACCAGCCACAACGCCUCUCCGCCCUUCAUCCGGUCUUCCUAUGUCUCCCGGAGAGUCGUGAGCGGAGGGGCACUGACGGGAAAACAGCUCUCACUGAUUUGAUCCUGGCUUGAAGAUGCGGUGAAACGGAGUCGUGUCGCAGGCACAGCAGGGAAUCUCCUCAACUCCAGACACAAGCACAAAUUCCAAAGACACACAUGUUAACUACCCUUCAGAUCUUGGCCCAAACUUGAAGAGGAUGAAAUAGAGAACAUAUGUUUAACUACCAAAAGAAAAGGGAGUGAAAGAGGCGGCUGAGUGAUACCAAGGACAGACAGAUAUCAACAACCCCAUCCCCCCAGAGAAUGCCCGUAAACCGCAUUUGGC